Molecule: long non-coding RNA, 446 nt
Filed under: Elaeis guineensis (African oil palm)
Lineage: Eukaryota; Viridiplantae; Streptophyta; Magnoliopsida; Arecales; Arecaceae
Description: long non-coding RNA (EGUI_LNC007971)
Source: RNAcentral
GGGUGUACUGAAUCACUAUAAAAUUUGAUCAUAUUUAUGGUUUACUUGAUUUCUUUGUUGCUUUCUAUUUAUAUUUUAUUUUUAGUUUAAUUUAUUGUAUCAUUUUUGCUCACUCACUUCACUAUUUUUUAAAACAGCAUAUACUUGCUCAAUUUUUAAAAAAUCUAAUUCACCUUCCUCUUGGGUUGUCUAGUUGGGUAAUAAGUGAUAUCAGAAUUUUGGUACUCGACUGCAUUUGAUCCAAUGAUCAAAAGUUAAGAUCAAAUGACAAUCCAAAUGAGUACUUCUCUUGCUGAAGGGCAAUCGAUCAAUUAUCCAUCUUUGUUCAAUGGAACAAACUAUACCUAUUAGAAAAUAUGCAUAUAUAUUUAUAUUCAAGAACUAGAUUAAAGGAUGACUCUUCUCAAAAUAAUGAAGAAGAUCAAAAGGAGGAUGAAGAGGAAAAA